Molecule: long non-coding RNA, 8661 nt
Filed under: Sorghum bicolor (sorghum)
Lineage: Eukaryota; Viridiplantae; Streptophyta; Magnoliopsida; Poales; Poaceae
Description: long non-coding RNA (SBIC_LNC018159)
Source: RNAcentral
GUUCACAUGCUUGGAUGUUGAAUAAACAAACUGUAGCAUUUCUGAUGUUGAUGUGCAAGUAUUAGUAUUUGGUUGAGUCAUUUUUUAUUUCUCAAAAAGAGGCAUUAGGAGCAAAGUUAUCUUUUCAUUGGCUAUAUUGUCAGUGAGAGUGAAUAAUGUUGUAUGAUUCAUGCCUGUUAGAGUAAACAGGAAUAGUACCACAUUGUGUAUCCACAUAAAGUGUUAGUCCUAUGUACCCUAUAUAAUCAGCCCAUGAGGCCGAAUGCAAUAUAUCAAAUAUUCCACCAAUUAUAUUCUCCUUCAUGGUAUCAUUCGCCCAAGUUUAGAUCCUAACCCUAGCCGCCGCCGCUUCCGCACCCCCCCCCCGCGGGGAGAGGUCGAUCUACGCCGGGGGCAGCGCUCCUAUUUAGGCGCCAGAUUCUAUUGAUCCGGCUGCCAUCGUCGUCAUCGCAUAGCAGAUCGGGAUCUCCCCUACGUCAUCGCCAGACUUCCGCUGCCGCCCUGUCCCCGGGCUCGCCGCCGGUUGUCGCCAUCAACACUUGAUCUUCAUCGCAUGGAGGCAGAUAGAUCUCGCCCCGUCUCAUGCCGCCGUGGUGGUGGCCAGGGCUGGCCACACGCAUCGACCCUGCGCUGCCAUGGAGGCAGCUAGAUCUAGCGUGUCGCUGUUGUCAGGCGGAUCUUCCCAUCUCCAUCUCGUCGAUCCACGUUGGCGCCUUCGACUCCAUGUGUUCGUGACCCGCCGUGCGCCUUGCACCGCCUGAUCGGGGCGCACCGCCGCCGUCGUGCCGUCUUGCUAGGUACACCUGAUCUCCUGCUGCUGUAUCUUUUUGGUUUGCCCGAUCACUGAUCGGGAUUGAGUCGCCCACCGUCCGUCGACCUCGUGCGUUCUACUCCGGCAUCGGUAUUGACUUCAUUGACACCGUCUCCGAGUAUUACAUGCAUUUUCUCCGAGCAACAGGGCUGCUAUUGUGUCGCCUCAUCGGGCCACAAUACCGCUGUCCGUGUGUACGCUUCGCCGUUGCAUCUCCAUCGCCGUUAUCUGUGCAUCGACGAUUGUGCUGCACAAUCCCUGCUGCACCAUCCGUCUGCACAAGGUCUUCGUCCUGCUGAUUGGGUCUUCGUCAUCGAGCUGCCACUACCCGCGUCGUCGCUGAGACCUGCUCACUGACGCGUCUUCUCCCGCAUUGCUUCUUCUUCGUCCAGCACAACCACACGGUUGGGGCCCUCUCUCUUGUAUGCUUGGUAUUGGCAACACCGACGCGUGCUUUCGUCCUCGACAUGUUGCUGGAUCUGGCAAAUCCAGCUGCGCCUCGGUGCUCAGGCGGCUUGACUGCAUCAACUUCGGCAUCGACCCUCCCGUUCCUACCCCGUUUGCCUCGAUUGCGUCGUCGCCCUUCUUCUAUGACGGUCCUGAUUGCAUCGACUUCGGCAUCGCCCCUCCCACGACGACUGCCUCGACGCGUCUCCGUCAUUACCAUGGCGCCCCUUGUGUGCCUGCAGCUCCAUCGACACGCAACCCAACCACAACUACGUCGACCUCGGUGUAACACUCUAAAAUUUGCUCCUUUGAAGUAGAGUUUAAAAAAAUUAAUUAUGUAUUUUUUGUGUUCAUGAAAAUGUAGGAAAAAUAAUAUUUUUUAAAUUAAAAUUUAUCAUAAGGCUUAGCAAUAUUGUUGUGCAUACAUGCUGGUGCAUAAGAUUUAAUGUAAUGUUUGCUUGAUGCUCCUUCGUGUGUUGUGAGUGAGCAAAGUUUUAAAAAUACGUUUAGUAGAACGAUCGUCCUUGACCAGUACGUCUUUAUCUUUAUCCACAAUCAAAUUCUUUAUUUCUCAGCUCAAGUUUUUAUUAUGAGCUUCCUACAAUCUUUUCUUUGUCACCUAAAUUCCUUCUUUUAGUUUCUCGUUCAUCAAGCACUAUCUGCGAUCUUCUUGGUAAUUUUCCAGCUUUUUGCUGGAACUUGUUCCCACUGCUGUGAGCAUAAUCUAGAUGCUCCAUAUUAUCUUAUCAGGCGCUCCAAAUACUUUAUUUGAGUUCCUCAUGUUCUAUAAUGUCUCUGAGAAUUUUCUCCGAAUUUUCAGAGCUUUCGGAAUAUUUUUCAUAGCUUAAAUAAUAAUUCUAGAUUUUUUUGGAAUUAUUUUAUCCAUGAAAUUAAAUAAUUCCGAAAAUAAUAAAUCUCUAUUCUUUUUCCAAUGCUCAAGGCCCAUGUCUUUAAUUACUAAUGGGUUUUAAUAAUUAAUUAGACCUAUUAGUAAAGAUGGAGGUUACAACAUCAAUUAGUACCAUAUUGCUAGUUGAUGUAAUUGUAGAGAGUUUUUCUCCCUAUAUAUGUGUACCAAUCCCUGGGGCAAUGUACACCAAAACUACAUGAAAAAGAUCUUCUAGUCUGGAAAUUGCCUUGAGGCCAUCGUUGACACGCUUCUUGGCUGAACACCGCACGUAGCUCAGCCCUGGUCCAGCUUCAUCCUCCAGGCUGCACCAGCCGCACCUCAUCUAGGUCCAGCCCCGCACUGCAUGCAAGCCGGGCAUGCAUGAGGAUCGAUCAAGUAGGACAGCUUUUGGCUAUGGAAAGCACCAUCGGCAUUGUUCCAUCGAGAGGAGCGGCGGCCUCACAGCUCAUUUACAUCGGGACGAGGAGCUAGGGUCAAGGACAAUCUGGACUAGGAGCAAGGAGUUAAGAAAGGCUGAUGGCUUCACGUCACCCUCUAUGAUUGGUGAGAAAACUAAUCUGAUCAUUAUCUCUUUCGGUCUUGCCUGCACGAUAGUAUGCACGUUGGCCGGUGUCACAAUUCUGACCGAGAAGUGUUGGGAACAACAGCUAGAAGAUGGAGAUGUUGUCAGAUCACGAGAAGCAUCACGACAUGAAUAAGUCACGCGCUUACAUCUAAGCGAUCAAGGAGGGCAAUCACGCACCCGUAGGGUGGCCAUACGAGCGGAACAGAUGUGAACAGACAGGCCGCUGGUGCCAUGACGCCCGGUGUCCACAACACAAAAGCUGAAGGCACUUGCGGACUAAAGGUGUGGCCAUCUUGCUAGCUCCCAUAUUUACAAUUUAAUUUAUCUCCUAGGAUGCACUAAACAUGACCGUUUCUUCGUGUCAUAUGGUUGUGCAAUAUUUAGCCAUCCCUUCUAUUUCUAAAAUUCAAUCAUGAACUUUAUAUAUGCAUGCGAACUAUACCUUUCCAAUGUAAAAGCAAUACAUGACAAUCCCAAUCUUUCAUAAUUAAUUGUCAAAUUGGUUAAUGGAAACAUGGAUAUGUUUUUCAUAAUUUGCUCAAUUUAAACACGGGACAAACCUAACUCAUUAAAAUAUUCACAUGUUUACCUUCUUUUCAUGAAAGAAGUUUAUUUGCUUAUAAAUGAUUCUCAAAACAUUUAUAAUAAAAUAUGACUAGACCGAACUCUAGUUUCAUUAAAAAUAUAAUUUAACUAAGUUCAUAAUCGAGCACAUGAUUUUGUUCUAAUAAUAAUAAUAAUAAUAAUAAUAAUAAUAAUAAUAAUAAUAAUAUAUACGCCUAGUCUUUUCUUUUAUAUAAAACUUCUAGUUUCCAAACAUUUUUAUUGAUUGGUGUAUUGCUUUAAUUUAGUCAACUUUGUUUGUUAUGCAUGUCUGCUCGGAUGGUUGUGUGGUGCCUUAUGAUCUUGUCCAGUCGGUGAGAUAUACGUGCGACUCAGAAGUAGAUCUUUGAAGGUUUGGACUUGAAGAAGGAUCUGAGUUUAAGGCAAGUAUAGCAUGGGAUCAUCCUUGUUUCCUAUUAACUUUAAUCACACAAUUCAUAUUGCAUGUGUCUCCUUGAUAAGGAUUUCCUAGUAUUGAUCUUAUACCUUGUCACCUACGGUUUUGCAUUGGGUAGCUUAUGCUAGUGCUCCACUAAACCAUGAUCUUGUAAUUUGAUUAAAGGAAUAUGCAAUGAACAUUAAAAGAUUACUUUUUUGGCAACUUUGGAAAAGAGGGCUGGAGCAUUGGGCUAUCUUAUGGUGCUCUAGUUUCUCUCCAUAAGGACUUAUCUGUAUCUGACCAUCCGGGACAUACAGUACAACUGUGAGGGCUACAUGGCUCUGGCUUUAGCUCAGUAUGAGGACCUUUUCUAGCUUGUUAGUGGUUACCCUUGUGGCGCAAAUGGGGAAUAGCAGACCGUGGAUUCCUGCGGGUGAGUCACACGGACUGACUAACGAAACCUAGCGGCCCUAACUUGUUAGACGAACCUUUGAAAGGCUUCAUAGUGAACCUUACCGGCCUCCCUAGGAAGGGGGUUAAGAGACUCGCGACCUCGGGCGAAAGGGUAAAUCAUGACUCACAGUGAAAGUGUACAACCUCUGCAGAGUGUAAAACUGAUAUAUCAGCCGUGCUCACGGUCACGAGCGGCCUUGGACCAAUACAGAAUAAAUGAUCACUAAUGGCAAAUUAUUAAAGUUAUUGUUGUUAAUAUGUUGUUUAUGCUAUUCUUUAUUCAUUUUACCUGAUCAUGAGUUUACUUCGGGACUCGACAACUUGAUGCUACUCAUAUGCUAAAAUUGUGACAACUAAAAGCUACAUGCAGUUAAACCAGUGUCUAGCCUUUGAGCCUCAUGAACCCUAUGUUAUUCUUGUUGAGUACGAGAUGUACUUACGCUUGCCUUUAUAUUUUAUUUGGAUAAAAAUCCCGGAUGGGUACCAGAUUGCAAGCUUGGAAAAGAGUUUAGGCUUGUGCUCAACCAGUCAGUUGUCCCUGUGGAUUUGGAGCUUUCGCCUGAAGAACGGAGUGUCUUUCCGCUGUUUGCUAUCUAAGGUUAUAUCUUUUAUACUAAGUUCGUUACAUAUAAGCAUUGUCUAUUGAUAUUACCCCUAUUUGUGGCUAUAUGUGAGAUUUGACUUCCUGGGCUCACAUAUGGUGUGUAUCUGGUUUUGUUCUUAAAACUGGGUGCUACAAAGUGGUAUCAAAGCAAUGCUGACUGUAGGACGCAAGCCUAGUUAGAAAUUGGUCAUCUUAAGGUUUUGAAAUUGUUAUAACACCCUCGCUCUAUAAACCUUGGUAUUUUCCUCUAUACUAUAUCUCUACCCUUGCUAUUCCUUCCUACCUUGUUGCUUAUUUGAAAAAUCUUUGUUCUCAUCUUUACUCCUUGAUUUGGUAUGCUUUUAGAAUCUUCUCUUAUCUCUUCUUGUGUCUUCGAAAUAGAACUUUUAGGAUCUUUGCCCUUACUAUGAAGAGAACGAUAGUAUCGCAAGUUGCGUGAAGUGUGAACCUCUAAUGCUUAAUUGGUUGUUAUUAUGUUUAUGCUUGAUUUGGAUCUUUGUAAUGUGUGCAAUGAUUUUGUGGGAUUUCUCCAUAAUAUCAUUUAGUUUAUAGGCCUAAGGCAUAAGGAGUAGUGAAAUAAGUAGUUGGGUUUGGUUAUAUCCUGUUUCUGUUCCUUGCUGAUUUCUGGAGCAGUCUGCAAUAAUAUUGGUAUAUCUCAAGUUCUCAUCGUGAAAAGUUUGUCACCUUUUUCUGGGAACAACUAGAUUUCAAGAUCUUUGUCUGACCUCAAGAAUCACCCCAAUAGCUAUUCUGGAAUUGGAGUUAUGAAAAUCACAAGUUGAUGCAGUUGCGCUGUCCAGAAUCUGGACCAGUUUUGGGAACAUGCUGUUUGAGACAAAUAUAACUAUAGAAUUGGGAAAAGUGUUCUAUAGAAACGUUAUAGAAAAUUUGCUAAGAUUUCCAAAGGUAUAAGCUGGAACUUAUUUGGAUAAUGAGAACCUGAGAUAUGAUAUUUACAAUUGGAUGUUUGUGUUCUGUAUCAAAGUCUGGACAGUUUGGGUAUUCCCUAUUUUCAGCCAAGUUAAAUUUAGAAUCUGGGAAAAAGUUGUAUACUAAAGUUUUAGAGGAUUUCAUAAGCUUUUCAACAAUAUAAGGAUCGUCUCCAUAUGAUUUAUGUAGCUCGAGAUAUGACAGCUGCAAGUUACUGCAUAGGUGCUGAGACACUGUCAGGAGGAAUAUUAUGUAUGGCUGUUUUACCUAAGUUUCAAGACAGAACCUAAGGAAGUCUUCUAUAUGAAAGUUGUGGUGAAUUUCAUAAGUUUUCUAACGAUAUAAGCUACAACUCUAUUGGAUUCACAGAAUAAGGGUUAUGUCUGUUUUACUACGCUGGUGUUUUCAUAUCACAAGAAAAUUUCAGGAUACUUGUUUGUUCUCUUGCACAUAAGUUCAUUGGGAUGUCAGAAGGUCUUAAUGCUAGUCAACUUGACUGGAAAAAAGUGCAAGCUACCUUCCUUGUGUCCCCUAGUUGACCUUUCUUAAGAGGGUAGUCUUAUCAAAGGAGUUACAGGGAGAAGUAAUGGUUAACAUUGGAUCAUCGAUAAAGACCUCAAGUGUUUGGAAAAUUUGGUUUGAUACAGGAAAUUGUUCCAUUGAAGUGUGAUAAUAUGGAUGGAGGUAUAGGUCAUUGCUGGUACUCAUAGCUUGGAAGUGGUGCUUAUGAGAAUCAGGUGACACCAAAGGCUACAAAGUUAUACAUGGAAUAUGAGAGCUAGUCCAUACUGUGCCCCGACCUAUCUCAUCUUAUGGGGUAGUACCUUGAUAUGAUAGAUUAAUGCCCUUUCAAUUUACCAUGAAGAGAGAAGUUGUCUCUGGAGAUAUCCCAUGAUUAUAAUCUAUCCUGGCUCAAGUUAGUGAAAUUGGUCACUUGACAACUUAGGAAGUGGAUAUGCUACAUCUACUGUUGGUUCUACGGAGACUCAAAAGACUUCAUUGCUAAAGAGAGCAUGACCAGUUUGUUCUAGUUGAUGGAAGUUCUCAUCUAGGAGAUGUCAUCUUUAAUGAUGGACUUAAGAAAGUUAAAAAUGCAAGAGUUGGAAACCACCAAAGGAAAUUGAAUGAGACUUAGAGUUUUAUAGAUAUGGCAAGAGGCUAUCAUAGGUUUGCUGGGGCCAAAGUGAUCUUGACAUAAGAGUGAAUAAGAGAUUGACUUGGAAUGAUAAGAUUCUAUCAGUGGUUCACUGAAGGUGUUGUAAAGAUUGGUAAAUAGAGUUCCUCUAUUCCAUCGAGACCUUAGAUGUGCUCCAUACAAGAAAAGUAGUGGCUGGUGCAUAAGUCAACUAAGUGGGUUGGAUUAACUGACAUGAUGUGGAGGUAUCCAUAGUGGAGCAUGGAGAUACUAUCUUCUUGGUUAUAAGAGUGAUAUCUACGUAGAAUGUAAGAGACUAAAGGGCAUCUUUAGGAAGUUGGAUUUGAGCUGGUCACAUCAUUGAUGGAUUUGAGUGAAUCAAGAGUUAUGACUAGGAAAAGUGAUAUCACUUGAAUGAGAAAAAAAGCCUUUACGAAUGCUCAGAGCAUAAAAGGUGUGCUAGAGGAGUUCAAAUAACACCAAGUUUUGAGGAGUUCAGUGUUGAACUAGAGUGAUGUCACUAGUACUGCCAAAGGAGCUCUAUUAAUUACUCAUUUGAGAACCACAGGAACUGAAAAGAUUACUUAGAAGAUAUGUUGUGAGCUUGUGUAUUGCAGUAUGGUACAAAGAGUUUACCGUAUGCGAAGUUUUCUUAGAACAACAGUUAGAGCCUUCGGUGGGAGCCUUUUGAAAGCUUGCAUGGAUGUAAGUGUAGAACCCUAUUGAUUUGGAAUCAAACGUGAGAACACAAGUGUUUGGGCUAGAUGUUCUAAGAGAUGCAGAACUGCAAGAGUGUUCACGGAUGACUUUAAGGGUGGCACAGUCUCAACAGAAGAUAUAUGCUGACAACCGGAGAAAAGAAUAAGCUUUUGAAGUAGAAGACUAUAUGUAUUUGAAGGUGUCACCUAUGAGAAGUGUGAGAAGAUUUAAUAUGAAGGAAUGGUUAGCACCAAGGUAUAUCUGGCCUUUCAAAGUGUUAGAAAGAUGGGGUGAAGUGGCUAUUAGAGCAUCUGAAAGUUUGGGAGGAAUGCAUGAUGUUUUCCAUGUGUCUUAACUCAAGAAGUGUUUGUGUGUGCCAUAAUAGCAGAUAUCGUUAGAAGAAUUGACUAUUAAAGGGGAUCUUACUUAUGAAGAAUAUCCGGUAAAAAUUUUGGAAAUAGCAGAAAGAGUUACAGGAAGUCGAGUAGUCAAGAUGUGUAAAGUUCAAUGGAAUCGAUAUUACCGAAGAAGAGGCUAAUUGGGAAAGAGAAGAGGAUCUAAGAAAAACAUACCCGCAGUGGUUUGAGUAAGCACCAACUGAAUCUCGAGGACGAGAUUCAUCUUAAGAGGGGUAGAAUUGUAACACUCUAAAAUUUGCUCCUUUGAAGUAGAGUUUAAAAAAAUUAAUUAUGUAUUUUUUGUGUUCAUGAAAAUGUAGGAAAAAUAAUAUUUUUUAAAUUAAAAUUUAUCAUAAGGCUUAGCAAUAUUGUUGUGCAUACAUGCUGGUGCAUAAGAUUUAAUGUAAUGUUUGCUUGAUGCUCCUUCGUGUGUUGUGAGUGAGCAAAGUUUUAAAAAUACGUUUAGUAGAACGAUCGUCCUUGACCAGUACGUCUUUAUCUUUAUCCACAAUCAAAUUCUUUAUUUCUCAGCUCAAGUUUUUAUUAUGAGCUUCCUAAAAUCUUUUCUUUGUCACCUAAAUUCCUUCUUUUAGUUUCUCGUUCAUCAAGCACUAUCUGCGAUCUUCUUGGUAAUUUUCCAGCUUUUUGCUGGAACUUGUUCCCACUGCUGUGAGCAUAAUCUAGAUGCUCCAUAUUAUCUUAUCAGGCGCUCCAAAUACUUUAUUUG